Molecule: unclassified non-coding RNA, 253 nt
Filed under: uncultured Bacteroidota bacterium
Lineage: Bacteria; Pseudomonadati; Bacteroidota
Description: uncultured Bacteroidetes bacterium contains 16S-23S intergenic spacer region
Rfam family: Bacterial small subunit ribosomal RNA
Source: RNAcentral
UACGGAGGGUGCAAGCGUUGUCCGGAAUCACUGGGUGUAAAGGGUGUGUAGGCGGGACUGUAAGUCAGAGGUGAAAGCCCACGGCUCAACCGUGGAAUUGCCUUUGAUACUGCAGUUCUUGAGUCCCGGAGGAGCUAUCGGAAUUCGUGGUGUAGCGGUGAAAUGCGUAGAUAUCACGAGGAACACCAGAAGCGUAGGCGGAUAGCUGGACGGGUACUGACGCUGAGGCACGAAAGCGUGGGGAGCAAACAGG